ACCAGCCUACGGUCUUUUAACUUGGUACAGGUCUGACUGGGUCACUACCCCUCCCUCCUACAACCGAUCCUCUUUCCUCCAAUCCUUUAUUGUGAUACGUGAGUAAAAAAAAAAAAACAACAUUGUCUGCGAGAAGUCAAUGUGUCAAGGUUUCUUACAUUUAAAUGAGUCAAGUCACGUGGUUUGUUAGACGAGACACUGUUUGAUACUUCACAAGUUCACUGGACAAGACACUCGAAGUUGAAAAGGAUCUACUUGAUCAGCAUACACUAUCUGUGUUCAGUGGAUAGACAAAGUUCUCUGUGAAGGAGCAUCUAUCUCAGUCAUGUGACAGAGCAGAGAGGAUCUCAUCUGAGACACACGGGAGACCAGAUUUUUUGAGACCCGAUCUCUGAGGCACUCGUAAGGCCCGGUCUCUGAGACACACCGGAGACCCGAUCUCUGAGACACACCGGAGACCCGAUCUCUGAGACACACCGGAGAUCCGAUCUCUGAGACACACCGGAGACCCGAUCUCUGAGACACACUGGAGACCCGAUCUCUGAGACACACCGGAGACCCGAUCUCUGAGACACACCGGAGACCCGAUCUCUGAGGCACAUUGGAGACCCGAUCUCUGAGACACAUUGGAGACCCGAUCUCUGAGGCACAUUGGAGACAAAAUCUCUGAGACACACCGGAGACCCGAUCUCUGAGACACACGGGAGACCCGAGCUUCGAGUAACACGGAAGACACAAUCCCUGAGACUCGAAUCACUGGACAAUGUCUGUCUCAAGCAUCCUUUUAAACAUCUUUUUGCCGGUCCUCACCUUCUACUUCUACCAAUCUUACGUUUACAAAAGAGCCCAGUACAAAGUUGUUGAGAACCUUCGACCCCACUACGACUACAUCAUAGUCGGUGGAGGAUCUGCAGGGUGUGUUCUUGCUGCAAGACUCUCAGAGAACGCUUCCAAGACAGUUUUGUUGCUGGAAGCGGGUUCCAGCGACAUUGGCCAUGCUGAGAUGGACACGCCCAUACGGGUACCGGAAACGUUCCUGAGUCGAUUUGAUUGGAUGUUUUACAGUGAGCCUCAACAGAGCAGCAUGGAGGGUCUGGAAGGAAAGAAAGUUUAUCUUCCAAGAGGGAAAGUCUUGGGCGGGUCAAGUCAAAUUAACUACAUGCAGUGGAGUCGUGGCCACAGACGAGACUAUGACAUAUGGGCCGAGCUGGGCGCAUCAGGGUGGAGCUACAAGGACGUUUUGCCUUAUUUUAAAAAGUCCGAGGAUGUUGUCCCCAAACAUUUGGCCAGUGAAGAGUACAGGGGGACCCAGGGACCCAUGAAGAUCACACAAAUCAAAACCUCUCCGUUGUCUUCAACUUUCAUCGAGGCUGUCAAGCUGUUGGGAUAUUCAGAGACGGAUUUUAAUGGAGAAGACCAGGAAGGUGUCGGCUAUACACAGAGUAAUAUCUAUAAGGGGGAGAGAUGGAGCACUGCCCGGGCCUAUCUGUGGCCCGCCUCACAGCGUGAGAACCUUGACAUUGUCCCAGACAGCUAUGUUCAUAAGAUCAACAUUGCACAAGGCCGUGCUGUGGGGGUCACAUUGACACAAGGUGCCUCCGGGAGACAACCAAAAGAGAUGAAGGUCAAGGCUAAGCUGGAGGUGAUUCUGUCUGCAGGAGCAUUUGGGAGCCCACAUCUGUUAAUGUUAUCUGGAAUAGGGCCCAGUGAACUUCUGACGUCUCUCCAGAUUCCUGUCAAGGCAGAUCUUCCUGUCGGAGACAACCUGCAAGACCACGUGCUGUCUUUCCUAUUGGUCAAUACUAACACCAGUGUUGGACUUUCUUAUAUAUCUACCUAUCAUCACUUCGAGUACUCUACAUUUGGCACAGGUCCACUUACUUCACCUGGCGGAAAUGACGCUGUGGCUUACCUGAAAACGCAGCCCAACCUCCCCCAGCCUGACGUUCAACUCGUUCUAGUGGGCGCCUACCCGGACAAAAAGUUUAUGAAGGUCCUGCCUGGUAUCAGCACUCAGUUAAUACAGAACUGGAGACUUUCGUCCGACAGAACUGGAUUCUUGCUACUGCCAUGUAUCCUGCAGCCAAAGAGCAGAGGAACAUUACGGCUUAAGUCAUCAGAUCCACUGGACUAUCCAGCAAUAGAUCCAGCAUAUUUGGCUGAUCCAGACGACCUUGGUGCACUAGUCAAAGCGAUGCAGCUAGCCUUACGAAUUAUCAAGACGGAACCGUUCCAAAGGAUGGGUGCCACUGUAGACCGAGCCCCUGUGCCAGGGUGUGAGAACCACUCCUUUAACUCAGAAGCGUAUUGGAAAUGUUACGCACACCUUCUAGCAAUGACAUCUCAUCAUCCGUCUGGCACGUGCAGGAUGGGAGCCAGUAAUGACCCAAAGACAGUAGUGGACAGUCGACUGCGAGUAAAAGGAAUAGACGGCCUGAGAAUCGCCGAUGCUUCAAUCAUGCCUCAACUGGUCUCUGCCAACACCAACGCUCCAACAAUCAUGAUUGCUGAAAAAGCUGCUGACCUAAUUAAGGAAGACAACGAAUAAUGCCAGUUUGGCUUUUUAAUUUGAAGUUAAUUGUUUUGACUUCAACUAGAGAGACUAUUCUGGCCACUUUGUGCUUCAUUCCAGAGUCUCUUCAGUGUGUUUUAGGCCUGAGAUUUAGAGUUUGGUAUUUUAUGUUUGAAUGAAUGUAGGCCAGUGUUGCCCAAUCUACAGCCCGCGGUCCACAUCCGGUGAUAUCCAGCCCUUUGAAUCGUCUGCCCACAGUUCAAAAUAAAACCGUACAAGAUCGGUUCCAUUGGUGAAGAGGCACGUGAACCAUGGCACCUUGGUCAAAAAACGGUUGGGCAAUACUGGUGCAGGGCAAUACUGAUGCAGGGCAACACUGGUACAGAGCAACACUGAUGCAGGUUAAGUGUAAGAAUGUAUUUAUGUGUGAUUGAGAGAACGAACAGUCGUGAACGAUUUGUCGUGUCCCCGGCAGGCUAAGUGUUAGCACGCAUGUAUCUAUGUGUGAGUGCAGAAAUGAGUAUCACAUUUAAAAAGAGACUUGAAGAGAUAUGAAUGACAUUAUGUUUGUGUUGAGACAAGAGAAAGUCAGGCUCUAGAAACGAGACUAAAUGAGGCAAUGCUAUUUAAAAAAAAAUAAUUCUAAAAUGUUUAUUUAUAGAGCCUUUGAAUACUUAAUGCCUAUGUUGUUAACAAUGUCACUUUUAUGUUUACAUUGACUUGAAGAGUAAAUUUUCUACAAUUCAA
Biomphalaria glabrata is the source of this 3259-nucleotide RNA transcript. It is a transcript of the gene named glucose dehydrogenase [FAD, quinone]-like, with no coding region annotated. Lineage: Eukaryota; Metazoa; Mollusca; Gastropoda; Planorbidae. The transcript is spliced from 14 exons. The record is from RefSeq and is a predicted model, not a curated record.